This 66-nucleotide transfer RNA is filed under the name Macromia amphigena. Its description in RNAcentral is "tRNA-Leu". Lineage: Eukaryota; Metazoa; Arthropoda; Insecta; Odonata; Macromiidae. The record is from RNAcentral.
UUUAAUGUGGCAGAAAAGUGCUAUGGAUUUAAGCUCCAUCCAUAAAGGAAUACCCUUUCAUUAAAA